RNAcentral lists this unclassified non-coding RNA (149 nucleotides) under soil metagenome. Its description in RNAcentral is "partial internal transcribed spacer 1". The record is from RNAcentral.
CCGAGUUUACAACUCCCAAACCCCCUGUGAACAUACCACUUGUUGCCUCGGCGGAUCAGCCCGCUCCCGGUAAAACGGGACGGCCCGCCAGAGGACCCCCUAAACUCUGUUUCUAUAUGUAACUUCUGAGUAAAACCAUAAAUAAAUCA